This is a long non-coding RNA of Alligator sinensis (Chinese alligator), 533 nucleotides long. RefSeq lists it as uncharacterized. The transcript is spliced from 3 exons. Lineage: Eukaryota; Metazoa; Chordata; Crocodylia; Alligatoridae. The record is from RefSeq and is a predicted model, not a curated record.
UUCCAGAAGUUCUUGCUGGUCCUCCUCCUGGUCCUUAUUAUCUUAGGGACCCUGUGUGAUGCCGACUGUUAUAUGCGACCUCCCAACAAAUAUGGUUGUAUUGAAAACAGAAGGCGGUAUAAGUUUGGUGUAGUAUGGAACACCGAUGAUUGUUACAAAUGUAAAUGUAAGCGGAGAGCGAUGACCUGCUGCAAUGUUGUUUUCACACCCCAAAACUACGAUAAGUUGAACUGUGUUGCCUUGUUUCACAAAAGAACCUGCACUAUCCGUGUGGUGAGGAAGAAAAACCCUGACAUACCCUGCAAAAUCUACAAUGGAGUUGGCUAAGAUCAGUUUAAAGUGCUUCUGUUCUUCAGCCUCUCUCUUUCAAGUUGAACAGACCUUGGAUCACUUACAUUGAGGAAAACGGCCUAUCCAUAGAGCUAUGGGGAUAGGAGGGUUCUCCCACCCCACCUCUUCCCCUGCUCUACUUGUACCCUGCCAUGCUCCCUACACAUGCUCCACCCCUGUCAUCAUGAGCAGCUGCUCUUGCU